Molecule: long non-coding RNA, 440 nt
Filed under: Felis catus (domestic cat)
Lineage: Eukaryota; Metazoa; Chordata; Mammalia; Carnivora; Felidae
Description: lncRNA (ENSFCAG00000046368.2)
Source: RNAcentral
UUUUUCUUCCGUUAAUUAAAUGUUUUAGAAAUAUAGGUAGGUGUUGGGCGUACAGAGAGGGAGAACGCAAGCAGCGGACAACUUCUCCCCGCAGAUCCGAUAGGCGUGCUGGGAUGGCAAACGAAGCGGGUCGGGUGCAGGGACACCAACUAUUGUAUUUUCAAAUUGUCCGAGCCCUGGACCCCGGCGGCUCCGCAACGGUGGCUGUCAACACCGCGAGCGAAGGUUCCACGAGCAGCGAGCGGCCUCGCCGGGACGGCCGCAGGUAGCAUGAUCUCUGACAUUUGGCAAAGGGAGAAGGUCCAACCUGUGCAGGGCAUUAUGGAAUGUGAGUAUUUAGGAGAUUUGCAUCUCAUAAGGAUGGUUAGUGAUUAUGGGAGGUGAAAAAUGAGGGCAGAAACCAAAACUGCAAGAAAAAGCAGCAGCAGAGGGGAGGUGUG